RNAcentral lists this ribosomal RNA (999 nucleotides) under Raffaelea fusca. Its description in RNAcentral is "SSU rRNA". It matches the Rfam family "Eukaryotic small subunit ribosomal RNA", at positions 95 to 1102 of the family's 1831-position model. Lineage: Eukaryota; Fungi; Ascomycota; Sordariomycetes; Ophiostomatales; Ophiostomataceae. The record is from RNAcentral.
GGCUCAUUAAAUCAGUUAUCGUCUAUUUGAUAGUACCUUACUACUUGGAUAACCGUGGUAAUUCUAGAGCUAAUACAUGCUGAAAACCCCGACUUCGGAAGGGAUGUAUUUAUUAGAUUAAAAACCAAUGCCCUUCUGGGCUCCCUGGUGAUUCAUGAUAACUUCUCGAAUCGCACGGCCUUGCGCCGGCGAUGGUUCAUUCAAAUUUCUGCCCUAUCAACUUUCGACGGCUGGGUCUUGGCCAGCCAUGGUGACAACGGGUAACGGAGGGUUAGGGCUCGACCCCGGAGAAGGAGCCUGAGAAACGGCUACUACAUCCAAGGAAGGCAGCAGGCGCGCAAAUUACCCAAUCCCGACACGGGGAGGUAGUGACAAUAAAUACUGAUACAGGGCUCUUUUGGGUCUUGUAAUUGGAAUGAGUACAAUUUAAUUCCCUUAACGAGGAACAAUUGGAGGGCAAGUCUGGUGCCAGCAGCCGCGGUAAUUCCAGCUCCAAUAGCGUAUAUUAAAGUUGUUGCAGUUAAAAAGCUCGUAGUUGAACCUUGGGCCUGGCUGGCCGGUCCGCCUCACCGCGUGCACUGGUCCGGCCGGGCCUUUCCCUCUGGGGAGCCGCAUGCCCUUCACUGGGCGUGCCGGGGAACCAGGACGUUUACUUUGAAAAAAUUAGAGUGUUCAAAGCAGGCUUAUGCUCGGAUACAUUAGCAUGGAAUAAUAGAAUAGGACGUGCGGUUCUAUUUUGUUGGUUUCUAGGACCGCCGUAAUGAUUAAUAGGGACAGUCGGGGGCAUCAGUAUUCAGUUGUCAGAGGUGAAAUUCUUGGAUUUACUGAAGACUAACUACUGCGAAAGCAUUUGCCAAGGAUGUUUUUCAUUAAUCAGGAACGAAAGUUAGGGGGAUCGAAGACGAUCAGAUACCGUCGUAGUCUUAACCAUAAACUAUGCCGACUAGGGAUCGGACGGUGUUAUUUUUUGACCCGUUCGGCACCUUACACGAAAGUACA